This 468-nucleotide ribosomal RNA is filed under the name uncultured bacterium. Its description in RNAcentral is "partial 16S ribosomal RNA". It matches the Rfam family "Bacterial small subunit ribosomal RNA", at positions 28 to 507 of the family's 1533-position model. The record is from RNAcentral.
GACGAACGCUGGCGGCGUGCUUAACACAUGCAAGUCGAACGGAAAGGCCCUGCUUUUGUGGGGCGCUCGAGUGGCGAACGGGUGAGUAACACGUGAGUAACCUGCCCUUGACUUUGGGAUAACUUCAGGAAACUGGGGCUAAUACCGGAUAGGAGCUCCUGCUGCAUGGUGGGGGUUGGAAAGUUUCGGCGGUUGGGGAUGGACUCGCGGCUUAUCAGCUUGUUGGUGGGGUAGUGGCUUACCAAGGCUUUGACGGGUAGCCGGCCUGGGAGGGUGACCGGCCACAUUGGGACUGGGAUACGGACCAGACUCCAACGGGAGGCAGCAGUGGAGAAUAUUGCACAAUGGGCGGAAGCCUGAUACAGCAACGCCGCGUGCGGGAAGACGGCCUUCGGGUGGUAAACCGCUUUCGCCUGUAACGAAGCGUGAGUGACGGUAAUGGGUAAAGAAGCACCGGCUAACUACGUG